RNAcentral lists this ribosomal RNA (301 nucleotides) under uncultured bacterium. Its description in RNAcentral is "bacterial SSU rRNA". It matches the Rfam family "Bacterial small subunit ribosomal RNA", at positions 505 to 805 of the family's 1533-position model. The record is from RNAcentral.
GUGCCAGCAGCCGCGGUAAUACGUAGGGUGCGAGCGUUAAUCGGAAUUACUGGGCGUAAAGCGUGCGCAGGCGGUUUUGUAAGACAGAUGUGAAAUCCCCGGGCUUAACCUGGGAACUGCGUUUGUGACUGCAAGGCUAGAGUACGGCAGAGGGGGGUGGAAUUCCACGUGUAGCAGUGAAAUGCGUAGAUAUGCGGAGGAACACCGAUGGCGAAGGCAAUCCCCUGGGCCUGCACUGACGCUCAUGCACGAAAGCGUGGGGAGCAAACAGGAUUAGAUACCCUGGUAGUCCACGCCCUAA